UACGGGGGGAGCAAGCGUUGUUCGGAUUUACUGGGCGUAAAGGGCGCGUAGGCGGCGUGACAAGUCACUUGUGAAAUCUCCGGGCUUAACUCGGAGCGGCCAAGUGAUACUGUCGUGCUAGAGUGCGGAAGGGGCUACUGGAAUUCUCGGUGUAGCGGUGAAAUGCGCAGAUAUCGGGAGGAACACCUAUGGCGAAGGCAGCUCGCUGGGACGUUACUGACGCUGAGACGCGAAAGCGUGGGGAGCAAACAGG
This 253-nucleotide ribosomal RNA is filed under the name uncultured bacterium. RNAcentral's name for it is "partial 16S ribosomal RNA". It matches the Rfam family "Bacterial small subunit ribosomal RNA", at positions 524 to 776 of the family's 1533-position model. The record is from RNAcentral.